UGGGGAAUCUUGCGCAAUGGGCGAAAGCCUGACGCAGCAACGCCGCGUGCGGGAUGACGGCCUUCGGGUUGUAAACCGCUUUCAGCAGGGACGCGGUACCUGCAGAAGAAGCCCCGGCCAACUACGUGCCAGCAGCCGCGGUAACACGUAGGGGGCGAGCGUUGUCCGGAUUUAUUGGGCGUAAAGAGCUCGUAGGCGGCUUUGUCAGUCGGGUGUGAAACCUCCAGGCUCAACCUGGAGCCGCCACCCGAUACUGCAAAGCUAGAGUCCGGUAGGGGAGCAUGGAACUCCUGGUGUAGCGGUGAAAUGCGCAGAUAUCAGGAAGAACACCAGUGGCGAAGGCGGUGCUCUGGGCCGGAACUGACGCUGAGGAGCGAAAGCGUGGGGAGCAAACAGGAUUAGAUACCCCUGUAGU
This 415-nucleotide ribosomal RNA is filed under the name uncultured bacterium. Its description in RNAcentral is "bacterial SSU rRNA". It matches the Rfam family "Bacterial small subunit ribosomal RNA", at positions 355 to 794 of the family's 1533-position model. The record is from RNAcentral.